RNAcentral lists this ribosomal RNA (606 nucleotides) under uncultured bacterium. Its description in RNAcentral is "bacterial SSU rRNA". It matches the Rfam family "Bacterial small subunit ribosomal RNA", at positions 337 to 916 of the family's 1533-position model. The record is from RNAcentral.
CCCUACGGGGGGGCACCAGUAGGGAUUUUUCGCCUACAUGGGGGAAAUCCUGAGGGAGCAACGCCGCGUGAGCGGAGGAAGGUCCUUCGGUUCGUAAAGUUCUGUUGUUAGGGAAGAACAAGUACCGGUCGAAUAGGGCGGUACCUUGACGGUACCUAACCAGAAAGCCCCGGCUAACUCCGUGCCAGCAGCCGCGGUAAUACGUAGGUGGCAAGCGUUGUCCGGAAUUAUUGGGCGUAAAGCGCGCGCAGGCGGUUUUUUAAGUUCUGAUGUGAAAGCCCGCGGCUCAACCUGCGGAGGGUCAUUGGAAACUGGGGAACUUGAGUGGCAGAAGAGGAAAAGCGGAAUUCCACGUGGUAGCGGUGAAAUGGCGUAGAGAUGUGGAGGAACACCAGUGGGCGAAGGCGGCUUUCUGGUCUGUAACUGACGCUGAAGGCGCGAAAGCGUGGGGAGCAAACCAGGAUUAGAUACCCUGGGUAGUCCACGCCGUAAACGAUGAGUGCUAAGUGUUAGAGGGUUUCCGCCCUCAGUGCCGCAGCUAACGCAUUAACCACUCCGGCCCUUGGGGAGUACGUAGCGCAGACUGAAACUCAAAGAAAUUGACGG